RNAcentral lists this ribosomal RNA (24 nucleotides) under Trichoderma harzianum. RNAcentral's name for it is "partial 18S ribosomal RNA". The record is from RNAcentral. Lineage: Eukaryota; Fungi; Ascomycota; Sordariomycetes; Hypocreales; Hypocreaceae.
CUCUGAAGACAGCGGAAGGACAUU